RNAcentral lists this small nuclear RNA (276 nucleotides) under Nannospalax galili (Upper Galilee mountains blind mole rat). Its description in RNAcentral is "7SK RNA (ENSNGAG00000005344.1)". It matches the Rfam family "7SK RNA". From Rfam's summary of the family: 7SK was discovered as an abundant small nuclear RNA in the mid-70s but a possible function has only recently been suggested. Two independent studies have found that 7SK RNA binds the CDK9/cyclin T complex (known as elongation factor P-TEFb). The record is from Rfam by way of RNAcentral. Lineage: Eukaryota; Metazoa; Chordata; Mammalia; Rodentia; Spalacidae.
UGAUGUGAAGGUGGUCUGACUUCAACGUAUGAUGCAUUGUUGAUGGCCAAAGUUGAUUCAGCUGAUCUGGCUGGUUAGAUGGGUAUCCCCUUCCUCCCUCAUGGAAGCUGCACAUGUGCUCAGUGGAAGAGGGCGACCUUCCCUGAAGGAACAUUGUUCGAUCAAGGAUAUACACAUAGCCAUGCACCCCUGCUAGAACCUCCAAACAAGCCCUCAAGACAAAGCUCUUAACCACGCUGCCGAGCUUCUUGUGCUGUCUUUAUAUCCUACCUGGUA